This 468-nucleotide ribosomal RNA is filed under the name uncultured bacterium. RNAcentral describes it as "partial 16S ribosomal RNA". It matches the Rfam family "Bacterial small subunit ribosomal RNA", at positions 28 to 507 of the family's 1533-position model. The record is from RNAcentral.
GACGAACGCUGGCGGCGUGCUUAACACAUGCAAGUCGAACGGAAAGGCCCUGCUUUUGUGGGGUGCUCGAGUGGCGAACGGGUGAGUAACACGUGAGUAACCUGCCCUUGACUUUGGGAUAACUUCAGGAAACUGGGGCUAAUACCGGAUAGGAGCUCCUGCUGCAUGGUGGGGGUUGGAAAGUUUCGGCGGUUGGGGAUGGACUCGCGGCUUAUCAGCUUGUUGGUGGGGUAGUGGCUUACCACGGCUUUGACGGGUAGCCGGCCUGAGAGGGUGACCGGCCACAUUGGGACUGAGGUACGGCCCAGACUCCUACGGGCGGCAGCAGUGGGGAAUAUUGCACAGUGAGCGGAAGCCUGAUGCAGCAACGCCGCGUGCGGGAUGCCGGCCUUCGGGUUGUAAACCGCUUUCGCCUGUGACGAAGCGUGAGUGACGGUAAUGGGUAAAGAAGCACCGGCUAACUACGUG